GGGGGCAUAGCUCAGGGGUAGAGCGCUCGCUUCGCAUGCGAGAAGUCCGGGGUUCAAAUCCCCGUGCCUCCA
Molecule: transfer RNA, 72 nt
Filed under: Steinernema hermaphroditum
Lineage: Eukaryota; Metazoa; Nematoda; Chromadorea; Rhabditida; Steinernematidae
Rfam family: tRNA
About the family: Transfer RNA (tRNA) molecules are approximately 80 nucleotides in length. Their secondary structure includes four short double-helical elements and three loops (D, anti-codon, and T loops).
Source: Rfam by way of RNAcentral